AUUGAACGCUGGCGGCAUGCUUUACACAUGCAAGUCGAACGGUAACAGGCCUUCGGGUGCUGACGAGUGGCGAACGGGUGAGUAAUGCAUCGGAACGUACCCAGAGGUGGGGGAUAACGCAGCGAAAGCUGUGCUAAUACCGCAUGUGAUCUGAGGAUGAAAGCGGGGGACCGAGCAGCAAUGUUUGGCCUCGCGCCUUUGGAGCGGCCGAUGUCGGAUUAGCUAGUUGGUGGGGUAAAGGCCUACCAAGGCGACGAUCCGUAGCUGGUCUGAGAGGACGACCAGCCACACUGGGACUGAGACACGGCCCAGACUCCUACGGGAGGCAGCAGUGGGGAAUUUUGGACAAAGGGCGCAAGCCUGAUCCAGCAAUGCCGCGUGCGGGAGGAAGGCCUUCGGGUUGUAAACCGCUUUUGGCAGGAACGAAACGGUGUCCGCUAAUACCGGGCGCUAAUGACGGUACCUGCAGAAUAAGCACCGGCUAACUACGUG
This 492-nucleotide ribosomal RNA is filed under the name uncultured bacterium. RNAcentral describes it as "partial 16S ribosomal RNA". It matches the Rfam family "Bacterial small subunit ribosomal RNA", at positions 29 to 507 of the family's 1533-position model. The record is from RNAcentral.